CUUCCAUUAAUCCAUUAUCCCAUAAUUUUAUUCUCUCUCUUGAUGAAACGUAAGGCAACUGCUUCUCAUCGCUUUUCUGAAAGCGACAGCCUUUGUCAUCUUCCGUCUCUCCUCUCACGUCUUUUACCUUUCAUCCACAACAAGAAAGUCGUUCCAGUUAACUCUGCUUUUCCAUCUAUUUUCAUCAACCACAUCAUCGAGUCGCGACCUCACCGAUGACCAUCGUAGCCUUGCAGCAUUGUUCGACCGCCGAUGUCCGGUAGAAAAGCCACCACUCCUGCUCCAACCAAUCAAUACAGAAAGUAUCAUAUUCAUCUCUUAUUUCUUUUAUACUAUUAUUCUAUUUCAGUCUCUUUAUAGUCUUAAUUAAUUUCUUAAUUUUGUUGAAUAAAGGGUGUUCAUGUGUGUUUAUAGGUGAAGUUAGGAAGUUAUACGAAAGCUGAAUUUUGGUGGAGUUUUGAGGUUUCUCAAAAAAUUUCAAGGUUUUGUUGUUCCAAUUUCUUUUACACGGUAGAUUUCAGAUAAUUUCUCUAUAUAUUUUCUGUAUUAGGUCUCCAAAUAUCUCAUCCACUAACAAAUUUAAUUUUAACAACUAUCAUGUCUUUUAAUCUUUCUCUAUAUAUCUUAAUCUCUCUAAAAAAGGUCUUCAACCAUUAGUUUGUUUGGACGACAAAUUGAAUAAAAUCUUCCUAGGUCAGUUCUCUACAGUUCAUUUUCGUUUCUACAAUAAAUAUGCUUAAUGAUAGUAGUAGUUUAUCCAAUUAGUCAAUUACCCAUAAAAUUAACAAUUUUGUGGUGCAAUGGUGACAUGUUUCUGAUUAUUUUUCAGUUUUAAUGCAUUUGGUUUUGCUUACAUGUUUCUGAUUAAGAUUUUUAGUGGUACAUAUAACGUAAUCAUGGAAUCACUGAAAAGUAGGAUCCUUAACCACACACAAGCAAGAUGGAGAAUAGAUCAAAUUGGUUCUUAAGAAGGAACUUGCUCAAAAUGAUUUUGCAACAAUAGUACAAAGCUGAAAAAAGAUAUUUGCAGCAUGGUAGACCUUUGAUGUCACAUGCCUGAUUAGAAAACGAGACAUAUAUAUAUCCCUCAAAUAAAAUAAUGGUGCUUGUGCAGGUCCAAGGAGAGUUAAUUUGAAAAGAAAAAAAAUGCUUAUGCUUUUGGAGUCGGUUAUGAAUUAGAGAAAGCAUGGAACUGCAUGAGUUGAGUAUAUAUCUUUUAAGUUUUGUCUGUUGUUUUUCAACAUGUUGAUCACUGAAUUGGAAAAUAGAAUCUGCCCCUUUGGCGUAUAUCAUGCAUCAGUUCAAGCCUUUCAACACAUUAUCAGAUUCAACUUAUAUAAGUGUAAUAUCCAGAAUUUUCUUCUCCAUUAAUCUAAAUUUAAGAUUUUCUCUUACAUAUAACGAAUUAAUUGUGGAAGUUCGCCAUUAAUAUCCAAUCUCCGGACAUCAAGGUGCGAAAUGUGAUACUUAUUGCUUGUGGAAAAAAGGGAAAAGAAUCUGUUGAUUUGAAAGAUGAAUCUGCUGAAUGAGUAGUUUUCAAAAUUGGAAGUCUACCUGUCUCAACUCCCUCCUGAUGUCCAAACCAGAAGACGAUCAGCACAAGGUAUGAAAGGUGAGGAGAAGUGUUUCAUGCCCGAUAUAUAUCGAGAGAGAAUAGCUUGAAAAUAUCUUCUCCAGUUUCCAGAAAAUCGUAUCUGAUCCUCAAAAUGUUGGCGUAGUUUGGAUGUCGCGUGACAAAAGAGCAAUUCAAACAACGGGUUUUGGCUCCUUGCUUGAUUAGUUGCAGGCAGAGACGGAUCUACCUUGUGCGUCAUGGGGGCACGUGCCCCCACAAAUUUUUUAUUUUUACUAAUUAUAUAUAUAUAUAUAUAUAAAUUAAAAUAUAUAAUAAAUAAGUAAAUCUUUAAAUUAAUUUUUAAUCUCCAAUAAAUAUAUACUUAAUUUAAAAGAGUGUCUUCUGUCAUGAAUAUUAUAAAGAAUCGUCCACACGGUCGGAUGAGAGAUAAAUGAAUAAUUAAUAAUUUGAUUGUAUUCAGUCAAUGAAAAAUAGUAAUUUUAAUUCUAAUAGAUUUGAAUUAUUAUGUAGUAAUUUUUUUAACGUAUUUUAUAUUUAUAGUAUGUUUAUAUUUUAUGCCCCCACAAUAAAAAUUUCUGGAUCCAUCCCUGGUUGCAGGCCACUCGGUAUCACUUCUGAUAGAUUAAUUCUCUAGAGCUCUAACUGCUGCUGAUUUAACCUGUAUAUCAUCAAGCUCAAGCAUCUGAAGAAGAGCCUUUAGUGGUCCACCUCUAGAAAUACAUUGCUUGCAUGCUCGUGAUCAGUCAGCUGAUCAAGAUCGGCUAAUGUAUCUACCAUGAUUAUUUGUAUGGCCACAUGUCCUGCAUGUGCAUCAGAAUUUACUAUAAAUGUGGUGACUAUCUUUCACCAAAGUUAUUGUAAGAUAAUCCCAAUAUCUAAAAGUUUCUGC
Molecule: long non-coding RNA, 2465 nt
Filed under: Salvia miltiorrhiza (redroot sage)
Lineage: Eukaryota; Viridiplantae; Streptophyta; Magnoliopsida; Lamiales; Lamiaceae
Description: long non-coding RNA (SMIL_LNC005314)
Source: RNAcentral